UCAGAAAACCUUGACCAUCUUUGAUCAACGAGCUAGUCAACUAGAGUCUUACUAGGGACAGUGUUUUGUCUAUGUAUCCACACAUGUAUUUGUAUUUCCAAUCAAUACAAUUAUAGCCUGGAUAAUAAACGAUUAUCAUGAACGAAGAAAUAUAAUAAUAACUAAUUUAUUAUUGCCUCUAGGGAAUAUUUCCAACAUAGGUUUUCCCUUGAUAGGUUUUCUGUUUUAGGAUAGAUUGACAUACUGUCAAGGGGGGCUCUCAAGUGAGUAGCUCGAUUGUAUCGUUCGUUGAGAGCCCAAACCAUUUGCAUCCUUGCAUCAUACUUCUUGGUUCUUGUUUGGUGUUUCUCUUUGUGAGUUUUAGAGCUUAUGGUCAUCUUCAUGACAAGCUCGAGUUCAUAAAAAAUGAAGUCCAUAUGCAUCUACUAUAUAGCUGUUUGGAUAGCUCUUGUCGUCGUGAAUCCAACAAGCUUGGGUUUGCUCGAUUCAGAGCUCGUAUGCGAAAGUUAUGGCUGUUUCAGUGGCGAGCGGUAGUACCGCUUGUGCCAAGCGGUAGUACCGCUCCCUAGCGGUAGUACCGCUCCGGGUGGGCGGUAGUACCGCUGCCUAGCGGUAGCACCGCUCCAGGUGGGCGGUAGUACCGCUUCGGGAUGGUAGUACCUCUCUCUGAGCGGUUGUACUUUGUCGGACUUUUUGCGAAUACUUUUCCAAGCGGCGGUAGGCCCGAGAGUAAUAUCUUUACUACCGUGGCCUAGCGGUAGUACCGCUCCUCACCAGUGGUAGUACCGCUAGGGGCAGCGGUAGUACCACUAGAGGCAGUGGUAGUAGCGCACCUCGCCAGCGGUAGUACCGCUAGAGGCAACGGUAGUACUGCGCCUCACCGGCGGUAGUAACGCUGUGCGCGGGCUGUAAGUGGGGGUAACGGUCUGAUUCCUUCCCCCACUAUAUAAAGGGGGUCUUCUUCCCCGAUGGUCUUUUCUAUCUCUUGAGAUCAUGUUCUUCCCCCAUUGUUGACCUUCUUCGAGCUUGCUAACUCUCAAUCCCUCCAAUGAUUCUUGCUAGUUCUUGAGGGAAAAGAGAGAGGAGAUCUAGAUCCACAUCUCCACCAAUCACUUUCUCCUCUAUGUGAAGGGAACCCCUUGGAUUUGGAUCUUGGAGUUCUUUGUGAGCUCCUUGUUCUUCCUCUCAUAUUUCUCCAUAGCUUUUGUUGUUGUGGAGGGAUUUAAGUGUGAGGGACUUGGCCACUUCGUGUGUUCUUACCAUUGCAUUAGUUGCAUCGGUUUGAGUUUUCCACGGUGAUACGUGGAAGUGAAGUUUGAGAAUCUUAUCACCUUUUGGUACUUGGUACCCUAGAGAUUUUUCUUCGGGGCUGCUUUGGCGUCCUAGAAGCUUGGUGGUGCCUUGGAGCUCAAUCAUUGUGGUGUAAAGCUCAGAGCAAGCGUCAGGGUCUCCAAUUAGGUUGUGGAGAUUGCCCCGAGCAAUUUGUACGGGUACCGGUGACCGCCCCCAAGGGUUGCCAUUUGUACGGGUUAGGUGACCACCCUCAAGGGUCCCUUAGUGGAAUCACGACAUCUUGCAUUGUGCAAGGGCGUGAGGAGAUUACGGUGGCCUUAGUGGCAUCUUGGGGAGCAUUGCGCCUCCACACCGCUCCAACGGAGAUUAGCAUCCGCAAGGGUGUGAACUUCGGGAUACAUCAUCAUCUCCGCAUGCCUCGGUUAUCUCUUACCCGAACCCUUUACUUAUGCACUUUACUUUGUGAUAGCCAUAUUGUUUCUUGUCAUAUAUCUUGCUAUCACUUAGUUGUUUAUCUUGCUUAGCAUAAGUUGUUGGUGCACAUAGUUGAGCCUAGUUGUUUUAGAUUUUGUGCUUGACAAAUUAAACGUUAGUUUUAUUCCGCAUUUGUUCAAGCCUAAACCGUAAUUAUUUUAAAGCGCCUAUUCACCAUCCCUCUAGGCGACAUCCACGUCCUUUCAGGCACUGGAUGCACUUACAGAAUCAUCAUAAUUUACUUACCUUGUGAGCCAAUUCCAGUUUGAUUUACUUACCAAACUUCUUAUCAAAAUAAAAUGUAAAUCAUGAACAUAAUUUAAUAAAUAUAUAUCUACACAAUCACAUUACAAACAUAUAAAUCACAAGCUACCAUAUUAAAUAUGGAAAAAGCUUGUAAUCACACGACGGAUUGCAACUCCCGCAUCCGCCACCUUCCCCCAGACACCACGUGCCCCACGAACCACUACUACUAUAUUUUUAACUCGCCUGUUGUUGCAUUCUUACCAUCGCAGCAACUGGUAUAUUGCAGACCGAGGAAGACGAAGACGAGACGAUGAUAUCCAGAUCCCUGCAGCGCCGAACGAGAGAUGCACGUCACGUGACGCUUCAAUGUUGGUGCCGACAACAACUGCCCACCUCGUUGGAUAGGAGGAUGGGGCGACGAGGUUGCAACCGAGGUCGGGCGCACAGGUUGUCAUUGCCGCAUGCCUCCACCACAGCUGUUGGCCAAGCACGGUGCGUCAACCUCGCCGGAGAGAAGGGUGCGAUGAGCGACAUGGCGAGAGAUUUCGACGCUCGCCGAUGGGCAGCGUUGCUAGUCCCUCACCGGAGACCUUUUUUUUGCAACAUCCUCCGUGUUGCAUGAAAGAUUCUGCAACAUCACUAAUGUUGCAAAACUUUCUUACGUCGAUAACUUUGUUGCAAAGAAAUCAACAACAAUAAUAGCUAGAUAACAAUACCUCUGUUACAAAAAAUCUGCAACACAUUCUCUGUUGCAAUUUUUUUACAAGACACCCUCUGCUGCAAAAAAAAUCUGUAAUACAAUCUCUGUUAUAAAUGUUUCUACAAUAAGGUCUUUGUUGCAAAGUAGAAAAAAGACGUUCAUCCCGAUAGAUCCGACGACUCGACGAGACGGUGGAUCUUUUAAAAAGAUCUGCCGACCGAUGCGUAGGAUCCCCAUUAAAAUAUUCAUAUCCCAUUGCAACGCACAUGCAUUGUCCUAGGUUUUUUAUGGACAGGCUUUGUCCUAGUCUUUUUUGAACAUCAAUAACUUAAUUCUUUAAAUAAUAGCUAGGUAUGGCAAUGGGUCGGGUUUGGAGCGGGUGGAGCUGGUCCAAAUCCAACCCAUGACCCAUAUUCGUACCCUCUAUCCAUCCACCAAAGUAUCCAUGGACACAAAAUGUGCCCAUGCCCAAACACAUCCAGAUAUCCAUGGAGCUCCAUGGGCAUAGAAAAAUCAACAUGAAGCCUUCCCAAAGAUCAAACUAACUCUUCAUCGUUUGUUAACAAAGAUUAGGUUUAAUAAUUAUGUUAGUGCAGUUGUGGGGGAUUAGGGAAGAUGGGUCAGACUUUGACCUUCUCUGACCACGAGUGACUUGGGGUUGGACAUUUUCUUAGUUUAGUGUCCCUACCAUAGGGGCCCAUGUGUCAUAUGGGUAUCCAUGGAGCAAAAAUUAAAACUGUGCCCAACCCAACUGUUCGUGGGUAUCCAUAUCCACGGAACCAUGGGCAGAAAUGCGCUCCAUACCCUUGCCCAACUGGGUCGGGUAUCCACGGGUAUCCAGAUCCAUGGAUAAAAUUGCCAUCCCUAAUAAUAGCCAUAUCAUUUAAGUUUGCGGAAGAAGAUAGUCUCGGGGUGAAGCGUCCCAAAACUGAAAAUAGUUAGAGUUAUAACAGUGUUUUGCCAAACAAUCAGCGACGAGAUUAGCUUCCCUAGUUAACACCAUAUAUGUGGAGAUAUCAAGAAAAAAGCACUCGGGGUGAAGUGUCCCAAAACUCAAAAGAGUUAAAGUUAUAGCAGUGUUUUGCCAAACAACCAGAAACGAAAUUAGCUUCCCUAUUAACAACAUAUAUAUGGAGAUAUAGAAAAAACACUGAGGGUGAAGCGUCCCAACACUCAAAAGAGUUAGAGUUAUAGCAGUGUUUUGCCAAACAAUCAGUGACAAGAUUAGCUUCCCUAGUUAACACCAUAUAUCUGGAGAUAUCAAGAAAAAAACACUAGUGGUGAAGCGUCCCAAAACUCAAAAGAAUUAGAGUUAUAACAGUGUUUUGCCAAAGGAAAACACUUUGGAUCAACCGACUGAUUUUACUCAAAAAUCAGCCGGGUCGCUGGCUCCUCACGUGUCCCUCUCAGCCACAUCUUUUCUUCCCACCUUAUCCCUUCCAGUGCUCUCUCCUUCACUCAUUCUCCUCCUCAUCUUAUUCCUCUUUUCCUUCCGUAGCAAUGAUGCUGAGAUGAAGCACGACGAGGGGCAGCCGGGGCUGGGAUGGAGCAGCACCAAUGCACGGGGGUGGCGUUGUAGUGAAGCUCCGUCGACGGCGCCGACGAGAUGUUGAGAUGGAGCCCGUAGUGCUGGUGUCGCGCUCCAAUGAAGCAUUGCCGGAGCUGUGAUCGGUCGUCGGUGCUGCAUUGGAGCAUCGCCACGCCAGUGUGGCGCUGCAAUGAAGCUUCAUCGGCGGCUGCAAUGGAGCUUCAUCGACGGCGCCAAGAGUUGCGACGCUGCGCCCUGAGCUGCAAUGGAGCUUUACCUACGGAGACGAGAGCUGCAAUGCAGCGCCCAAAGCUGCAAUGAAGCUUCACCGGCGGCACCAAGAUCUGCGAUGCAGCACCCGCGCUGCAAUGAAGCUCCACUCGCGCUGCAAUGAAGCUUCAUCACGACGAGCGAUCGUUGCUUGCGUUGACUAGAUCCAAAGUCCUUGUAGAACGCAUCUAAUGGCUGGGGACCCGAGUGAUUUCUUGGGAAAUCAGUCGGUUGAUCCGUAGCAGCCGCCUUUGCCAAACAAUCAGCGACGAGAUUAGCUUCCCUAUUAACACCAUAUACGUGGAGAUAUAAAAAAACAAAGGGUGUAGCGUCCCAAAAACUCAAAAGAGUCAGAGUUAUAGGAGUGUUUUGUCAAACAAUCAACGACGAGAUUAGCUUCCCUAAUUAACACCAUACAUAUAUGCGGAGAUAUAUAAAGAAAAAGGAAAACACUUAAAAACAACCGGCUGAUUUUUCACUCGCGUAAGCCGCGGCCGACGCCCGCCACGCGUCCCUGUUUGCUCGCUCAUCCUUUCCCUUAUCUCUUCCCCCACAAACUGGACCGCUCGUUCUUUUUCCUUCCUUUCUUCUUCCUUGAGCACACCGCACCACACACAAGUGCCAGUGCCUGCCAUCGUAGACCAUAGCCGCCGUUGCUGCUGCAAGCGGGCUUCACAAAGGACGGUGCUUUGAUGCAAUUCCAGUUGUCGGUCACCUCAUGCUGCUAUAGGCUAGGUUGGGAGGACGGUGCUGUCAUGGCCGACGGCGGAGCUGCGUUGCAGCAGGCGAUGCGCGGCGAGGUUGUUGCCAUAUUGAUGGCGGAGCUGCGUUGGAGGAGGAGGGGAUACGAGCAACUGCCAUGGCCCUCGACAGAGCUACGGGCAAUGCUGCAACGAAGCUUCGCGGGGGCAUCAAUGAAGCUUUGCCGAAGCUGCAACGAAGCUUCGUCGGGGCGUCAAUGAAGCUUCGCGGUGCUGCACUGAAGCUUCGUCGGGGCGUCAAUGAAGUUUCGCCGGUGCUGCACUGAAGCUUCGCGUGUGGCGUCGGUGCUCCAUUGCAGCUUCGUCUCGGUGCUGGGGUUGUUAUGAAGCUUUUGUCGAUGCUUGAUGUUGCCAUGGACAGCACCUGCAGCUUCGGAUGCAGCGCCAGAUCGUACGUCCCCUAGCGCCAAAUCUAACGGCUGGCUAGGCGGAUGAUUUCCUGGCCUGAUCCGUAGCAGCCCCCAAAGAAAAAACACCAUAUAUGUGGAACGGUGGUCAAUAAAAUAACCUAGAUUUACAACACAUCUGAACCGUCCGAUCCAGAUACUGAGGCACCUAUAGUAGUACUACUCAACCCCUCGUAUAGGAACCGGCAAAAUGAGUUCAGACCCCGUCAAAUUCCGUUCCCCUCUCACCCCGACCUGACCCACCGACCCCUCGCCGGCCCACCGCCACAGGUCGCCGCAAUGGCGUACAACUCUUCGCGCGCGCGCCUCUCGCCGCCAGCUCCCGCGGCCCCUCGCCCCAGGAAGCGCGGACGUUCUCCCUCAGCUCCCGGCGCGGCGGUGUGGCGCGCGUCCGCUGCAUACGUCGCUCCUUUCGACCACCGCCGCCGCUGGCAGAACCCUGCAGGCGCGUCUGGCCGCGUCUGGCAGGGGUACCGCGCGCCACAUACCCCGGUGCCCUCCCGGCAGUGGGUCUUCGCGGACGAGGCAUCCACCUCGGGAUCAGGUAUCCUGUUAGCUGCAUAGCUGUCGUUGUCGAGGAGAUUGGUUACCUUUGCUCACCACUUGUUUGUGUAUAGGUCUGGUAAAAAUUGGCCUUUGCAUUGGCUAUUUUACUAGUAAUACUGCACUACUGCUACCGGGAAAUAGUAAGGAGCUAGUUCAACCAAUUAGGUAGUGGAAGUUAUUUUCCAAAAGAAAAAAGUUCAGUGAAAGUCAAAAUCUUCUACCCAGCUAGUGCAAUCUCCCACAAAGUCAUGAUCUUCGUGUGUACUUCCCUUACAAAGUUGGAUCAGUUUGGCUUGUUGGCUUGGAAGUGUGUUGCUUAUCACAAAUUUGUAUCAGAUUGGGUGGAAUUGUGUUGCUGAGAUGGAGGCAUUCGUGCCUGUACUUAUGCUUUCUUUUGUUAGAUGCAUGCACAAUCAUGUCAUACAACAUCUUGGCGGAUAACAAUGCACGGAACCAUCCUGACCUUUACUUGGACGUCCCUUGGGAUGCUUUGAGAUGGGAUUCGAGGAGAAGGCUUAUUAUCCAUGAAAUUAGGCACUGGGACUCUGACUUAGUGUGUCUUCAGGCAAGAACUCAACCUGCAUAUUGGCGAUGUCAUCCUUCCACUGUACUCUGUAACACUUUAUGUUUGGAAAAUAGGAGGUGGAUAGAUUCCGGGAAAUUGCUGCAGAAAUGAAGAACAAAGGCUAUGAAUGUAGCUUUAAGGUAUAGCACUAUAACAUUUCUCUUUGAAAUUUCUGCCUUUCAAAUCUUAAGCUGAGUCCCGUGCCAUCCUCAGGGGCGCACUGGGGAUGCUAAAGAUGGAUGUGCUACCUUUUGGAAGUCAGAACGGUAUGACUAAUGCUACCCCUUCUCCGCUUGUUAUCUUUAUUGGUUGGAACAAAGCAGCAAUUUUAUCCUUUCUGUUUGUUUGAACUGUAGGUUACGUCUGCUUGAGGAAGAUAGUAUUGACUUUAGUGAAUUCAAUCUACGAAAUAAUGUUGCUCAAGUAUUAGUUUUUGAGGUACUUGGAUUUACAUCAAAGCACUAGUUGGUUCAGUUCAUUAACUAAAGUAAGGAGUAAUUUCUCAUCCAUCCUGGUAAGAGUUAGCAGAUAAUCGCUUGGCUUCUUCUGCUAUUAAUGCUUUCCCUAUUUGAUAUGGGCCUGAGACCCAAAUAAUGGGUAGAACUAGCAGGAAAUAGAGAAGGAGGGGAUAUCUUUUUUUCUGUGAUAGUUCCAUCUUUUCUCUGUGAGUCGAAUAGCUCUAUCUGGAAACAUGCACCAUGUAUUAUUAUAAUUUUAGCACUGUCUUGUGACUCCCUUUACAUUGUGUAAAUGAACCAAAUGAUGUACUACAAUCGUGCAUUUUCUGAAUAGCCUCCCAGCUACCAUCUUUUGUAUAUUUUUUCUUCUUAUUCAGGUCUCUGCUAAGUAACCAAUGUUUUACUGUUGGAAGAAAAUGGUUAUAUUUAUUUUUCUUCUGACAUGUUUCCUUUUCAGCUUAACGGAACCCAAAAAUUUGUACUCGGGAAUAUCCAUGUUUUGUUUAAUCCAAAGCGUGGAGAUGUAAAAAUGGGACAGGUAUGUCAGUUCAGAUAAAAUCAGCAUCAUUUGUUUCAUGCAUAUCUAAUAUCAUUGUGUAGUCGUGUCUCAAGAUGGUCUGCAUAAUCCUCAUUAGCUGAUAGGAAUGUAAUGCACAGUUUGAAAUGACUGUUGGCCACUUCAAAUUUGACAGAUAUCUAUUUACUCCUUCCAACUUUACCCAAAUUAUUGUUUACUCCUGAUUCUCCUUCCUCCAGAUCCGCAUGCUACUGGAGAGGGCGAAUGCUCUUGCUGGAAAAUGGGAUGGAAUUCCUAUUGUGCUUGCUGGUGAUUUUAACAGCACACCUGAAGUAUGUUUUAGUUGCUUCCUUGCAUAUAUGUGCCUUAAGAUUCUCACAUAAAGAUAAUUACUUGUAACAAGUGUUUAGUUUCUGGAACUGAGAUGACAUGUUACCGCUCAUGAGUGAUAGUGCUUUAGAUUGAACGCGGGUGUUGGAUGGUACAAUUAGGGUAUUAAGUUGUAAAUAGGUUUUUUUUUUAUUGAAAUGUGGUAUCUUGUGAUUUAGAGCUAACAUUUUUCUUUCAUUGGUUCUAACUUUUCUUUUUUCUCUUCCUUGGACCAGAGUGCCAUCUAUAAGUUCUUGUCGACAAUGAAGGUGAAAUAUUGCAUUAGAUAUUUCUUGCAUAUCCCCAAAGUUAUAGUCUGGUUAUUAUAGAACUGAUUUACAAUGCAUACAAUGUGCUCUUUUUGGUGUGACCAGCUGAACGUUUCUUUGCAUGAUAGAAGGCAGUUGUCUGGACUGGAUAGCUCUGAAUUUGGUUUGUAUUGUAGGUUAGAAUUCUUUCUUGUCAGAUUUUAGUUGACCUAGCACAUUUGUCCAUUUUAAGAUUUUUAUCUACCUUCCUUGUAGUUUACUGAACUUUGAAUGGAGUGACGAAGAAGUGAGAAAUGCGACAGGGUCCUCAAAUGUCAUGGUCGCUAGACAUCCGUUGAAGCUUUCUAGCUCUUAUGCUAUGUUGAAGGUAGUAUUUAUUUUCUAGUAGAAACUGAAGCACUCUCUUCGACUAUUCGACAUAUAGUUGAAAUGAAGAGCCGGUUUAUUUUAGGGAAAUUCAAGCAAUAGGGGUCAUCAUGGUGAACCUCUAGCAACGUCAUAUCACAAGAAGUUUCUGGGGACUGUUGAUUAUUUGUGGUACGCUUCUAAACGUGUCUGCAUCUAUUAUACACAUAUACAAUAUGGCUGAGUCUCGUUGUUGAAGGUAUACUCCUGGACUUGAAUGCUCCAGAGUUUUGGACACACUACCUGUGGAUGCUUUGAAGAGGACAAGGGGUCUUCCAACCAGGGUACUUCCUAUUUUAAUGCAUCAUACUAUUUAGACAAAUCUGUAUGUGAAAAAGGACUAUAUGUUUAAACUUUGGGCUUGGGCAAUGUCAUGAUUCGAGUUUUGGCCGUAAAUUUCCUGUUAUACAUAAUGCUCAUAUUUGACCGCUAACAACGAUGUCAUGCUGAAAAAUCAUCAGGAAAUGGGCAGUGAUCAUCUGCCAAUUGUUGCUGAAUUCAUCUUCUCGGAACAGACCAGAUAUUCAUCCGAGCAAGGAGAUGAAUCCGACCAAGAUGAAUCUGAGCCAGACGAUGAGCCUACACGAGAAGCAACCACAGCAAAACACAUAUAUUUCUCCUCAGACAGUGACAGUUCGGCUGAUGCAAGUUAAUUAUUCAGUUGGUAGGAAAAGUUUAGGAUAUAUGACUUGGAGGACAGGGGCGCUGUACGAACUUCAUGGCGGUGACCAUACCAUUCAUGAUUCAGAUGCAGAAAUUAUCUUGGCCAUUGUAAGGCUCACGCCAUAUCCUUGAAUGAAUGUGCAAGGUGUGUUGCCAGAACCUGUAGUGUUGUAAUUCCUGUAGUGGAUUCCAGUCCUGCUGCUUCAGGAUGCUGAUACGGAUCAGAAUCAGGUGUAGGAAGCUGAUGUCUCCAGACUCAAGUGCCAAGAUUGUGGCCGAACGAGUGUUCUCCACGAGCUAUACAAACAAGUAGGUUAAGGACAAGGAAAGAAAAACAAUUAGUAUUGGCAGUUUAGCAUUUACUAGUACUCAAAGUGUAUUUAUUCUCCACUUUUGCGCAGAAUAUUGACACGCUAUCGUAAUGAUUUAACGUGCAGUAUGUACAUGCCGACUGUAGUGUACUCGUUCGGUCUAUGCCUAUAUACUCGCUCGUUUGACACUAACUGGCAAGCGUUCACUGGGACGGGAUUGGCAAGCGAACAUUUCUAAUGACGUUUUUAGGUGAUAGCAGUUGGUAGUUUCUGCCUGUUUUCGCCUCAAAAAUUCUUUCUAUUUGGAAACUGUCAUGUCUCUCUGAAAAAUUGUCAUGCGUCACUGAAUAAACUACUUGUAAAAACGUUGGCAAACGCUACCCCUCAUUGUGAACGUUCGCUGGCUAUUGGGGUCCUUGACACUAUUGGUUGAGGAUCCCGCUUUUAGAUUGGUGUAGGAGCAGGAGACUAACCAAACUUGCAUAUAUCCUGUAAUAAGUUAGGAAUUACAAAGUUCACGUGAAGUACAAAGCAUCUCAAACAUAAAAAUUACAUUGAGAUUAUGAGACCACUGAACAAAGCAUCUCCAACAUAAAAAUUAUAUUGAGAUUAUGAGACCAAUGUAUGACGGCUAGCUAUAUACUCGCUCGUUUGACACUAUUGUUUGAAGAUCCUGCUUUUAGACUGCUCGCAGUAGGAUACUAACCAAACAUUCCAUAUAUUCUGCAAUAAAUGAGGAAUUGCCGUCAUCGAGGAGGUCAGGCAGGCUUUAGUAAGGGGGCGGUGCGUCGGCGGCUUGUCCUGAUGGUGGUAGUGGUCGUUUGAUGAUCCAUUGACCUGUAGAUGCAAAAAAUUUUAUGUGUGUUAUAUAUGUUUUAUUUUGUACUCCCUCUGUAAACUAAUAUAAAAGCAUUUAGAUCACUAUUUUAGUUAUCUAAACACUCUUAUAUUAGUUUACAGAGGUAAUACUUAUGGACUUUUGUAUUAGAUCGAGUCCUUUGUGUAAAAAAAGAAACUAGAAAUUGCAGCAAUAGCAAACACACAGAUGCAGAGGCUGAGUACUAGCACUAGCAAAAUGCAGAUCGACCUUGCAUUCCCCAACCGUCAAAUCCGCAGUCCGCACUCAUCAGGCACCAACCAAAGAAAUGCCUGGUACGGGAGGGCAGGGAGGCCAUCUAUGGAUUUGAAGAUAGGGAGGCGGCCAAUCAGAGCCAAGCGGCCGGCCACGUCACCGCUCCGAGGGACCAAGACGCGGGCGAGCGCGGCCGCACAAGAGCCCCUCCUACACAACAAGCGUCCCAGCUUUUGUUGUUGUUGGGCGAGACACAGAGCGAGAGGCCGAGGAAGCGAUAGCUCUAGCGAUAAGGCACUGACGGAUCAAUGGCUGCCACGGCGUACUCCGUGGCCCUCCUCGGCGGGGCGCGCCUCCCCGCCGCCACCAGCAACGCCGCCCCACGCUCCUCCGCCCUCCUCCCGCGGCGCAACCUCCACCCGCUCCGCCUCCAAGGUGCACAUGCAUCCUAUGCUAUCUACGUACUAUCAGCCGGGUUUUUCCGGAGGAUUCUUUUGGCUCUGACGGCUUGGCCGAGCUUGCAGAUGCGCCGAGGCCGUCCCUGCUCCGCGUGAAGGCGGCCUCCGACGACACGUCGGCGAGCGGCGAUGAGAUCAUCGAGGACCUCAAGGGGAAG
This 11470-nucleotide long non-coding RNA is filed under the name Hordeum vulgare. RNAcentral describes it as "long non-coding RNA (HVUL_LNC018152)". The record is from RNAcentral. Lineage: Eukaryota; Viridiplantae; Streptophyta; Magnoliopsida; Poales; Poaceae.